CUGUGCUAGAUGGGGAGUUAGCGGUUCCCUGUAUCCUGAAACCCGCUUUAUGCAGGAUUGAAUACCGGUAGGAGGGUUUUGCUGAAUUUGAAAUGGUUUAUAAGUAGUGUUGAUGCUUUCAGCUUUACGCAAUAGACUUGUUUUUAAACCCGUCAGAUCCGGAAGGAAGCAGCGGUAGA
RNAcentral lists this signal recognition particle RNA (179 nucleotides) under Fidelibacterota bacterium. Its description in RNAcentral is "partial signal recognition particle sRNA large type". It matches the Rfam family "Bacterial large signal recognition particle RNA", at positions 1 to 174 of the family's 256-position model. From Rfam's summary of the family: The signal recognition particle (SRP) is a universally conserved ribonucleoprotein involved in the co-translational targeting of proteins to membranes. Lineage: Bacteria; Pseudomonadati; Fidelibacterota. The record is from RNAcentral.